This 422-nucleotide ribosomal RNA is filed under the name uncultured bacterium. RNAcentral describes it as "bacterial SSU rRNA". It matches the Rfam family "Bacterial small subunit ribosomal RNA", at positions 355 to 775 of the family's 1533-position model. The record is from RNAcentral.
UAGGGAAUAUUGGGCAAUGGACGAGAGUCUGACCCAGCCAUGCCGCGUGCAGGAUGAAGGCCUUCUGGGUUGUAAACUGCUUUUAUCUAGGAAGAAAAUACCCUUGCGAGGGGAACUGACGGUACUAGGUGAAUAAGCACCGGCUAACUCCGUGCCAGCAGCCGCGGUAAUACGGAGGGUGCAAGCGUUGUCCGGAUUUAUUGGGUUUAAAGGGUGCGUAGGCGGCCCAUUAAGUCCGUGGUGAAAGCCAACAGCUCAACUGUUGAACUGCCAUGGAUACUGAUGGGCUUGAGUACAGACGAGGUAGGCGGAAUGGAUGCUGUAGCGGUGAAAUGCAUAGAUAGCAUCCAGAACACCGAUUGCGUAGGCAGCUUACUAGGCUGUAACUGACGCUGAGGCACGAAAGCGUGGGGAGCGAACAG